UACGUAGGGUGCGAGCGUUGUCCGGAAUUAUUGGGCGUAAAGAGCUUGUAGGCGGUUUGUCGCGUCUGCUGUGAAAAUCCGGGGCUCAACCCCGGACUUGCAGUGGGUACGGGCAGACUAGAGUGUGGUAGGGGAGACUGGAAUUCCUGGUGUAGCGGUGAAAUGCGCAGAUAUCAGGAGGAACACCGAUGGCGAAGGCAGGUCUCUGGGCCACUACUGACGCUGAGAAGCGAAAAGCGUGGGGAGCGAACAGG
RNAcentral lists this ribosomal RNA (254 nucleotides) under uncultured bacterium. RNAcentral describes it as "partial 16S ribosomal RNA". It matches the Rfam family "Bacterial small subunit ribosomal RNA", at positions 524 to 776 of the family's 1533-position model. The record is from RNAcentral.